Molecule: ribosomal RNA, 406 nt
Filed under: uncultured bacterium
Lineage: Bacteria
Description: partial 16S ribosomal RNA
Rfam family: Bacterial small subunit ribosomal RNA
Source: RNAcentral
AUUGAACGCUGGCGGCAGGCCUAACACAUGCAAGUCGAACGAGUGGCGGACGGGUGAGUAAUGUCUGGGAAACUGCCUGAUGGAGGGGGAUAACUACUGGAAACGGUAGCUAAUACCGCAUACCAUCAGAUGUGCCCAGAUGGGAUUAGCUUGUUGGUGGGGUAAAGGCUCACCAAGGCGACGAUCCCUAGCUGGUCUGAGAGGAUGACCAGCCACACUGGCAAUGAGACACGGGCCAGACGCAUACGGGAGGCAGCAGUGGGGAAGAUUGCACAAUGGGCGCAAGCCUGAUGCAGCAAUGCAGCGUGUAGGAAGAAGGCCUUCGGGUGGUAAAGUACUUUCAGCGAGGAGGCGUUACCUGCAGAAGAAGCACCGGCUAACUCAGUGCCAGCCGCCGCGUUAAUUC